Zingiber officinale is the source of this 425-nucleotide long non-coding RNA. RefSeq lists it as uncharacterized. The record is from RefSeq and is a predicted model, not a curated record. Lineage: Eukaryota; Viridiplantae; Streptophyta; Magnoliopsida; Zingiberales; Zingiberaceae. The transcript has 3 exons.
GGCAUUUGUAUUCCUCUCCCAGUGCCAGAUCUUGGCGGAUGCUGGCUGAUUGGGGGUUGCGGUUGAAGAAAUUGAGAUCAGUGAUCUCUUGCUUGAUCUCACCUUGAUUCGAACAGAGGAGUGGAUUUUCCAACAAGUUGUUUGCUGUGGAUUGUAAUCACGGGACUGGAGAAGAAGUGCAGGGAAGAAGUUCAGCAUGGUUAGGUUCUGUGAUUCCAGGUGAGGUUUGGUGAUCAGUGAAGUGAGGGUCUGUUGCUGUGAGGCUGGAAUUGUGAUCAUUGCGGUGAAAUUGAGGGCUGUGGAUCAAUAGGUGUGGCUAUGAGGUUUCUUGUUCUUGAUUCCAGCAAUUUCUUGGUCUCGGCAGCAACAAUCCUCUUGUCCCAAUAGCCACAGUAGCUGUGGAAUUGAGGACUCUGAUUCGAGAC